RNAcentral lists this ribosomal RNA (818 nucleotides) under uncultured Bacillus sp. Its description in RNAcentral is "bacterial SSU rRNA". It matches the Rfam family "Bacterial small subunit ribosomal RNA", at positions 107 to 906 of the family's 1533-position model. The record is from RNAcentral. Lineage: Bacteria; Bacillati; Bacillota; Bacilli; Caryophanales; Bacillaceae.
UGAGUAACACGUGGGUAACCUGCCUGUAAGACUGGGAUAACUCCGGGAAACCGGAGCUAAUACCGGAUAGUUCCUUGAACCGCAUGGUUCAAGGAUGAAAGACGGUUUCGGCUGUCACUUACAGAUGGACCCGCGGCGCAUUAGCUAGUUGGUGAGGUAACGGCUCACCAAGGCGACGAUGCGUAGCCGACCUGAGAGGGUGAUCGGCCACACUGGGACUGAGACACGGCCCAGACUCCUACGGGAGGCAGCAGUAGGGAAUCUUCCGCAAUGGACGAAAGUCUGACGGAGCAACGCCGCGUGAGUGAUGAAGGUUUUCGGAUCGUAAAGCUCUGUUGUUAGGGAAGAACAAGUGCAAGAGUAACUGCUUGCACCUUGACGGUACCUAACCAGAAAGCCACGGCUAACUACGUGCCAGCAGCCGCGGUAAUACGUAGGUGGCAAGCGUUGUCCGGAAUUAUUGGGCGUAAAGGGCUCGCAGGCGGUUUCUUAAGUCUGAUGUGAAAGCCCCCGGCUCAACCGGGGAGGGUCAUUGGAAACUGGGAAACUUGAGUGCAGAAGAGGAGAGUGGAAUUCCACGUGUAGCGGUGAAAUGCGUAGAGAUGUGGAGGAACACCAGUGGCGAAAGGCGACUCUCUGGUCUGUAACUGACGCUGAGGAGCGAAAGCGUGGGGAGCGAACAGGAUUAGAUACCCUGGUAGUCCACGCCGUAAACGAUGAGUGCUAAGUGUUAGGGGGUUUCCGCCCCUUUAGUGCUGCAGCUAAACGCAUUAAGCACUCCGCCUGGGGGAGUACGGUCGCAAGACUGAAACUCAAAG